CCAAAACAAACCAGAAGUGCUUAAAAUGAGGACGGGUAGCUCCGUGUACCAAUCAGAAUUUAAAACUGUAUCAAUUCCUGCUAUAGAAAGAGGCUUCUCCCCAGGACCAGGAUUCCACGAAGGCAGCCCUUUUCUAGAUGGAGAAAAUAGAACCUGAAGGCAGCCGUUUCCCUAAACUGCUCUCGCUCAUGUGAUCCUGUGCACUUUAUUCUUCCCUACCAGCCUCAGAAGCCACGUGCUGAAGACAGUGAAGUUCUGUCUGGGAAGAAGCAUCGAUCCCUAAAUGACUGCAUGGAGCAGAGCAGAGAUGUCUGCUCACUAAGUUGGUUCGAAGCUGAGGAGGAAAAAAAUUAGGUGCUAGGAUGCUGGAGAGAUCCUCAGAAACCCCUCUACAUGAAUCAUUUAAGUAGAUGAAGAGCUAGAUUGCAAUAAUCAUUGGGAGGAGAAGAAGAAUAAAACAUGAGAUUCCAUUCACAUCCCAGAAUUAAAGAAUUCACCGUCAAGAGGAAGAGGAGGCUGGGUACAGUGGCUCACGCUUGUAAUCCCAGCACUUUGAGAGGCCAAGAUGAGCAGAUCACUUGGGCCCAGGAGUUCAAGACCAGCCUGGACAACAUAGAGAAACCAUACCUCUACAAAAAAUACAAAAAUUAGCUGGGCGUGUUGGUACAUGCCUGUAGUCCCAGCUACUCAAGAGGUUGAGGUGGGAGGAUUGAUGGAGCCCAAGAGGUUGAUGCUGCAAUGAACCAUGAUUUUGCCACUGUGCUCCAGCCUGGGCAAGAGAGUGAGACCCUGUCUGGAAAAAAAAAGAGGAAGGGGAGACGAGCAGAUAAGCCGAUCAUGUCAAGAGAUGUCAGAAUGUUUCAUGAAUAAGAGCACAGCUUCUAUGUUGGAUACCCUGAAUUUGAAUCUCAGCAUGGCCACUUUGUAUAUAACCAGAGGAUGAAUUGGGGACCCAAUGGAUCUACCAUGACAUGAACCUGCACCAACAUUCACCUGACCUCCAAAAUGCCUAUUCUGACUGGUAGACCCUAGUCUCGCCCUAGUGCCAGUUCAGAGCCUGUGUCCAGUGAUCCUGCACAGGUCCCAUUAGUUCCUAUUCCCCUGUUCAGUCAUCCUGGUAAAAGGCUGUGUAUUCCUGUGGGGGCAGGCUGGGAGAAAGAUUGACAGUAUAAAUUUUUGGCAGUGGAGCAGAGUCCUUUCUGGAGGGGACCUGGCUUCACAUUCAGACAAGGGACUCCUGGUCUGUGAACUGGCUUAUGUCUGGGAAUUGACUGGGGACUGUGACUCUGUUUUUAUGAUUCAGGUUAGACUUCUGCUCACCUGACCUAGAACUCUUCUGCAAACACAGAUCAAGUAAAAAUGUGGCAGGCUUCUUAUCUAUUUCACUUCUAGGAAAGCCACGAUCAGCUGGCACCAUAGGUCUCUGCGAGUCAUGCUAUUCUGCUUGCAGCUUUGACUCUGCUGUCCUUUAUGGUAACUGCAUCCACCUUGCCUUUGGGGAUUGAGUGCUGCGGUCACUUGGCCCCGGCCCCUGUAGUGUGCCUAUGUCACUUACCCUCUUUAUACCUCAGUCUCCUCCUCUGUAAAAUGGGCAUCCUAAUAACACCCACCGCCAGGGCUGCUGUGAGGUAUAGAUGGAUUAGCAUAUGGAAAGUAAUAGAAGAGGGUCUCAAAGCCCAUGUGUCAUUAUCAGAAUUAUUUCAUGACAGGGGAGAGCUGGAGGAGAGGGGAAGGUGCUGAGCAGACCCAUGUGCUCUCCCACCAGUGUUUCCUGAGCACCUACUAUGUGCUGCCCACUGUGAGAGCUGUUAGGGUUGAAAUAGGGAGCACAGCAGGGUAGGGGCUGCCAUCAGGAGCUUAGUGGGGAGACCAUUGUGCAACAUGGUUCCAGCGCUUGGGAUGGGGAAGCUCAGGGAGUACAGGGGCCUAGGAUCCUGGGCAGAAUCAUGGAAAGGACACAGCCUCCCCAGCCUCUCCUGCCUCCACUGUCUCCCUGGCCUCCUCUG
Molecule: long non-coding RNA, 2006 nt
Filed under: Homo sapiens (human)
Lineage: Eukaryota; Metazoa; Chordata; Mammalia; Primates; Hominidae
Description: HSALNT0227200
Source: RNAcentral